UGUCAAGGGAUGGUAAUCGAACCCACAGUGUUCCGCUUACCGGGCAGAUGCCAUGUCCACUAGGCUACCCUGGAC
Cordylochernes scorpioides is the source of this 75-nucleotide non-coding RNA. The record is from the annotation of a GenBank genome assembly. Lineage: Eukaryota; Metazoa; Arthropoda; Arachnida; Pseudoscorpiones; Chernetidae.